UUGAAACCCCUUUUCCCGUACGAUCACCGAAGAUAAGCAACGUUGAGCCUGGUCAAUACCUAGAUGGGUGACCGCUUGGCAAUACAAGA
Molecule: non-coding RNA, 89 nt
Organism: Acanthosepion pharaonis
Lineage: Eukaryota; Metazoa; Mollusca; Cephalopoda; Sepiida; Sepiidae
Source: the annotation of a GenBank genome assembly